RNAcentral lists this transfer RNA (74 nucleotides) under Escherichia phage vB_EcoS_HASG4. RNAcentral's name for it is "tRNA-Ser". It matches the Rfam family "tRNA". From Rfam's summary of the family: Transfer RNA (tRNA) molecules are approximately 80 nucleotides in length. The record is from RNAcentral. RNAcentral also lists the same sequence under 5 other names. Lineage: Duplodnaviria; Heunggongvirae; Uroviricota; Caudoviricetes; Demerecviridae.
UGCCGAUCUAGUAUAAACGGUAUUAUCAAGCCGUAACUGGUGGAAGAUGUAGGUUCGAAUCCUACGGUCGGUAA